Molecule: long non-coding RNA, 5251 nt
Organism: Equus caballus (horse)
Lineage: Eukaryota; Metazoa; Chordata; Mammalia; Perissodactyla; Equidae
Source: Ensembl
UGUAGUCUCAAAAAUUUUAAAUAUAAAUCACUUUUUUCUCUAUUUUAUGAGUUGGAAAAUAUUUGUUUAUUGUAUUUAAUUAUCAUUAAAAAUAUAUUUAUCAUAACUAAAGCAUGUUCAAAUUGGUGACAUAUUGAAAAAAUAACAUCUGUUGAAUCAUUAAAAUAUUACCACAAGUAUUUGUAUUGAUCAUAUAUUGUUAAAUAAAGAUCUUGACCUGCAAAAGAUGUAUCUGUAGGGAUCGUUGGGUUUCUGAUUUCAGUUGCAAGAAUUUCUAGUUUGCUAUAUUGUUAGCAUGGCAAUACCAGAAGUUUUAUGUAAAGUACUUGAUUUUGUGAAGCAACAAGAAGACCAAAGACAAACGUGUUUUAGAAGAAAAUUAACCAUUUUUUGCGUACAAAAAUCAAAAGUAUGGGGCUGGCCCGUGGCACAGCAGUUAAGCUCGCACAUUCCACUUUGGCGGCCUGGGGUUCACCGAUUCAGAUCCCAGGUGUGGACAUGGCACCACUUGGCAAGCCAUGCUGUGGUAGGCCUCCCACAUAUAAAGUAGAGGAAGAUGAGCAUGGAUGUUAGCUCAGGGCCAGUCUUCCUCAGAAAAAGAGGAGGAUUAGCAGUAGAUGUUAGCUCAGGGCUGAUCUUCCUUAAAAAAACACAAAAAACCUCUGUCUAAAUAUUUUCUUUAAAAUGAACUAAAUGUGAGAGGGUUGUGUGUGUGUGUGUAUGUGUGUGUAAUAAAAGGAAUGGAAUCAAGCCAUUUUAGAAGCCUAUCAUCACGCUUAGUGCUUUACAAAUACUUUCAUCUCUCAAUCUUUACGAUGACUCAGAGUACUUACUACUCCAGUAAGAGGAAUCACAUGGAGAGGAGACAGCGAGAGACUAAGUGUCCCGAAGAGGGACUGCAAAGCUCUGAUUCAAAUGCAGAGUGGACUCUGCAGCCUGUGUUGGUUCCUCUACUGCAUGCCCUAGACACGGAAUUGUCUCAUGAAUAUGACUUAGCCCCUAAGUUCUUCAUGUAAGAAUUUUGUGACCUUUGAUGUUAAUGAUGUAUCGUGGUUUUAAUUUUCAGAUUUGUGAAAUGUAAUUUUGGUUCAGGUUUACUUUACAAAAUGCAACCCAAGACAUUACAAGCAAUGUAAUAUGAAGAAAUGAAUAAUCAAAUGAUGGAUUUAACUAAUUUAUAAAGUUCAAACCCAAACUUCCCCUUGACUGCAAGAUUUGUCUUUUUUUCCUCUAUAAUUACCAAAAUACUUGACUCAGUUAUCCAGUUAAUUUUAUACAUGUAUUCGUGUGUCUAUGUAUCUUCAAAGUGUAGUUUUUAACUACCAUAGUUACACCAGGAAGCAUGUACAUGCUUUUUGCUUUUGAAUUUUUUCUUGCUUAGAUUUAUCCCAUCAUCUAUAGUUAAGCCUGUUUUAUAGAAAGUCUUUGACUUUCUUUAAAUUAUUUCAUUUAGUCUAAUUCCACCUCUUCCAGCUCCAUGCCACCACCCUUACCCCAACCUCAGUUUAGCACAUAUCCUGCUCUCACCUGUCACGCUUGUGUCAAUAUUAUCAUUUCAUUGGCAGCAUUCUCACUGCUGGAAGUCAAGCUCAGUUGUGAAGGGGAAUUUGUUUAGGCAUAACAAUGCCAAUAUGAAAAGAACUGAAAUAAAUUGCACGUCUCUCUUUAAUCCAUUGGAUCUUUUGCAGAUAAAAAAUUUUUACUUUAAAGUCUGCUUCAUUUUUCUCACUAAUGCCUCCAUCAACCCUUUUUUACAUUGAAGACUACCAUUUUCCCUUUCAUAAACAUUCUGAAACCUAUUAGCUACUCAGAUCCAAUGGCUUGCUCCCUUCAGUUGCAGAAGAUUGCCACAUUCCUUCACAAAAAGAGCCUGGAAAGUGCUAGCAGUGCCCUAUUUCUCUGAAGGGUCUCUAACUCUUACUCAAGUAAAGGAAACGGUAAGUAAAGAUGUUUGGCAUGGUAGAUUUUAAAAAUGAAAGAAAAAUGUGUACUCAUAAUACAGAUAAACUACUUUUUCAGGUAUGUUCUGUCUUAUUUUCUCAGGUAUUAAAAUAUUUCAAGGAAGUUUCAAUACAUUGACUGUCAAGAAACUACUAAAGCAUCUUUUGAAAACUUUUCCCUGGUGAUUCUCAACUGGAGACAUUUAGUUGGGAAGCAUCUGGAAAUGUAUGAGGGCACCUUUGAUUUCUCAGUGAUGCAGGGGGUGGCUGGCAGCGAGCUACCGGCCUUCAGCACUGGGAGCUAGGGAUAUGAAACAUCCUGCAAGUCCAGCACAACCGUGAAUUAUUCCACCGAAAUGCCAGGGGUGCUGUCACCCUUGAGAAACACAAGGGACCUAGCUAUUUCAGGUAAAUGAAGUGUUCAUUGUGAAAAAGUCAGAGGCAGAGGAGUGUAAGGGCUCUGUGUGGACUGUGGAGCCACACAGCUUGAGUUCAAAUCCAGUUUCCGGCUGUAUGACAUUGGCCAUUUAAUUAAAUGAUCUAAGACUCAGUUGCCCCAUCUGUAACAUGGGAAUACUAGUAAUUUUUGCCUCAUAGAAUUUUGUUGUAUAGUAUUAAACAAGUUAAAAUAUAUAAAAUUCUUAGAAUAGGGCAAGCUCUCAAUGUUGGCUAUUGCUAUUGCAAGUUCACUCAAGUCCUUCAUUUUAUUACAUUAAUUAGAAUUGGUGAGAGGAUGUACAAAUAUGUUUUUGAAACCUGAAGCUUCUAAAUUUAAAAUUCUUCAGUCUGGAAUCCAUUAUGUGUGAGAAAAUAUUUCUUGAUGAGAACAGUCAGAAUGUAAGCAUGCUCUCAGUCACUAAAUGUGUUCCAACAAAGCAGCAGGAGAAGGUUAAGAGUGGGAACGGCAAGUCUUCCCAGGUUGAAGAAAAUUUGUGUGGGCUGUGAAAAAGGAAGACUGUAAGGUGGACACUUUGCAGAGUAAAGGGAUGCAGAGGAGGUCUGACCAAAUUAUAACCGUGCGUUUGCAGGGCACUGAUCAUAGUUGAUGAGAUGCAACCAAGAAGAGAUUAUUACUGGCCCAGACCACGAGGAAAAAUCAAUUUCAGACGACAGUCAAGUUGGAGGACCCUCGUGGAACACUUUGUAUUUCCAUGGGGUCUGUAAACCUUGAACCUAUUGGUGCAGACUUGGAACAUUCUGAAUGGUUAAAUGCUUCGUUCUGUAAAAGAGGAGACUGCUCACUCUGCAGCUAAGUCUUGGAUUUGUGGUUUGCACACAGAGGGCCUUGCUUAUGUAACUCUCAUUUUUAACUAUAGUCCAGUGAAAGUCAGUUUUAUUUCUAUUAAGGAUUUAUAAGCCCAAAAGUGAACAUUGAAUUAAUCCUAGUGUGUUAUACAUUAAAAAAAAAAGCUGAGUCCAAACAAGAAUGAGGUUAGUGCCUGUGGGAAGAGUAGAACAGCUCAUCACAGGUGGAUGUAACAAAUUUUUCAAGUCAAAGUUCUGUCAGAUGUUUUAUGUGAUGAUUCAAAUGAUCAAAUGCUUUAAUCACAAAUAGAAUCGGGUAAUAUCACCAUUAAUAGGAAACUUCCAAAAAUAGCCAUAGUAAUAGUGCUAUGUUGAUUCAUUCUCUUUCAAAGAUUGAGUCACCAAGUACAAAAUCUGGUGAACUGGAAUUGAUGACAGCAACUAUCCUCUUCCCCCGUCUCUCUUGGUUCCUCCUCCUACCCACUGAACCUUCGCACUGUAAACGUUCAAUAUUCUCCAUUAUACACUUGCUUAACGCACACACAUCCACUUCUCAGAGACUCUUAAAGUCAUCUUACUGGCCCUACUGUGAAUGUUUCUCAAAUCUGUCUCCAGCAUUGGCCCCUCCCUUGUGCUUCAGUCUUAAGAUUUCCAAGAGCUAUUAGAUAUUGCUACUUAAAUAUAAAAAUUCUACCCUAAAAUUCACACAUUUCUCCCUUACAUCUCAAUCGAAAUGAUCAACAAAUCUGAUCUAUUUUCAAAAUGCCUCCAGACUCUGACCACUUCUCUCCACCUCUGUCCUGGUCCAAGCCGCCAACACCUCUUCCUGGAUUGAUGUGGUGGCCUGCUCACUGGUCUCCAUGAUUCUUCCAUCCUUACGCUACUUCACUCUUCUGAGCUCAGCAGGCAGAGUAGUGCUUUUAAAAUGUGCUUUAAAAAGUCACAUCCUGACACAACUCUGCACAAAACCCUCCGAUGGCAUCCCAUUUCAUUCAAAAUAAAGCCAAAUUUCUUAAUAAUCUAUAAGGUCUAUGCAAUGAGCCUCUGACCUCAUCUCUUUCUCUUCUUUUCCUCCUUCUCUCUUCUCGUUGUUCCCUCUGGCUGGAAUGCAUACCCCAGACACCUGCGAGAUCUACUCCCUCCCAUUCUUGAGGUCUUUACUUGAAUGACUUCUCAGCGAGGACUUUUCUGACCAUGCUGAGUGCUCCAUAUUGCCCUUUCUCAUUUUAUUUGUCUCCACAACACUUAUCAUUGACAUAAAGUGCAAUUUACUUACUUAUUGUUUAUUUUUGGUCUCUCCACACUGGAAAGUGUAGGGACAGGGAUGUUAGUCUGUUUUGUCCACUGUUGGAGCCCCAGUGCCUAGAACAAAGCUGUGCACACAAUCAUCAUUAAAUAAAUAUUUCUUGAAUGAAUCCAAACAUAUCUGACUCUGCUAAAACCAGCUUCUAAUAUGGACUACCCUAUAUUUCCUGAGUGUCCACACUUUUCUCCUGCUAAAAAUCCAUAUAGACUCAUAUUUUUGCAGUUAUCUUUGUCUCUGUCUGUCACUAGGACAUCUCAUCAGUUGCCAAAUUCUUUCAAUUCCAUGAUGUUAUUGGAAUCUGUCCCCCUCUUUUUUAUUUCUACUGCACCACCCUCGUUUAUGACAGCAUAGGUUGGAAUCAGAUAGACUUGGGUUUGCAUCCCAUCUGAACCCCUUACUAGUUAUAAGACCUCGGGCAAGUUCAUUUGGAGUGGGAUGGGGAGGAAGUCUCAGUUUUUCAUUGGUUAGUUGGUACCUACUUCAUAGGGUGGUUAUGAGUUAAAUGAGAUAAUGUGUCUGAAGCAUGUAUUCUUACCUGAAACAUAGUAAGUGAUCAGUCUAUUCCCAUAUGUAUGAUCCAUGGCAAUAGAUUUCUAACUCGUAUCCCUUCUCCUUCUCUCAUUCCUUUUCAAUACACUAUACCAUUACUACCAAAAACAUCUUCUGUAAGUAUUGCUUUGAUCAUGCUAUUCAGUUACUCAACAACUUUGAAAAUCUUCCUGCAGAUAAAGGGAAUUACAAUUUGAGUGCCUACUAUGCC